RNAcentral lists this long non-coding RNA (392 nucleotides) under Coffea arabica (coffee). RNAcentral's name for it is "long non-coding RNA (CARA_LNC006328)". The record is from RNAcentral. Lineage: Eukaryota; Viridiplantae; Streptophyta; Magnoliopsida; Gentianales; Rubiaceae.
AGAGGACAUACAAAUACCCCAACACUUAUAGCAAUGGCAAUCAACAAGCACUUGUGGUCCCAAACUAGUCAAUUUCAAAAUCAAUGCAGUCCAAAGUGCAACACGUGCUUCCAAGAGCUUAGUAAAGGAAACCAAAAGGAUAAAAUGCUCCUAAACAAGGCAAUCAGAGGCAACUAACUUCAAUAAGCAAAUUUAAGCGUUACAGGCACCUCCCAAUUUAACAAGCAAAUUACCCACAAUUAGACACAAAUCACAGCAAAUUAGACAUAAUGGGACCCAAAAUCGUAAUAACCGCCUCCAGUUGGACAGUCAAUUACCCAAUUCAACCUGCCAAAAUCAGCAAUUAACCCAAGAAAUGCUCAAAUCACCUCCUGCUUUAUCCAAAACAACUC